GCUUUGGGGACCAUUUUUUCCUCGCAGAGAAAGCCUGCCUUGGCCUAGGACCUCGCCAGGACUUCCGUGCUCCCAUGUCUCCUGGGCUUGCCUCCAGCACCGCGACUGCUGUUGUCUGCCCAUCUUCACCGGCCUGGGAGCGCUCUGAGAGCAAGGACCAGGAAUGACUUUGGUCUCUGGGUGUCCAGAGCCCGACACGCAGUAGUUGCUCGCUGAAGGUUAACUGUAGAGCGACAAGCUGUGGCUGGCUGAGCAGCAGAAGCCUACUUCCCGGCUCACAGGCAGGUGGAAACUGACUUUGGCCUCACCACACCCGACCCUUGUGGUCAAUUGGAAAGACUUUACAUCUGAAAUAAAUAUGAUCAAGCAACAAAUGCCUUAGGAAGUGACCAGUUUGAUAAUACAUCCCUGCCAUGGCUCUCCUUCCUUCCCUGCUUUAUAACCCCUGUCCCUCGCUCCUGGUUCUUGGACUCGCACUUGCCAAUAAAGUCCUCAUAUGAGGAACCUACACUAAGGCACGCUGGUACCAAGAGUGGCCCCAGGAAUCAGCCCUUGGGUUGGAAUUUCAGAACUGGACUGCUCAGCAGUCGGGUGGCAGAAACCCCAGCGCUGGUGGUCUAAGAUUGUUUGAAGCCACCUUGCGGUCAAGAGAGAACUGGGAUAAGCUGCCUGCCCUUGCGCGGGCUAGACCAGAGCCAUCCUGCAACAAACAGGACCCAAGAUUCCUCUAAGUUUACCCCCCUACCACCAAAUUUGAUUAUAAAAAUUUGUAAACUAUAUACAUUUUAAAAGACAAAACAAGAGACUUCAAAGACUUUGUAAACUGAGUGGGCUAGUCCCAGAUACUCAGCCGUUAGCAGUACCUGGGAGAUGAGGCUGAGAAGCAUGACCUGGUGCCCUGCUCCCUCAGCUUGGCUUGCAUUCUGUUGCCUCCCCUGUCCGAUAGAGAGGUGAAGUGAUUUGGCCUUGCUUGUACAGCUAGGUGAAGUUCGGGCCAGUGGUAUGCUGAAGCAUUCUCAACCAGUUCAUGAGACCUGUUGUUAAAUUCUCAGGAAUUCUGUGCAUCAGCCAUUAUUAAAAGUUAAAUUAUAUAAACUUACAAUUAAGAAAUUAUAUGAACAAUAAAUUAACCUCAGAGGUAAUAGUGUUCAAAACAUCACUUUCUAAAUACUUCUCUACAUUUUAUCAUUAUCUAUUCUCCUAAAGCUGUAUCUAUUUUAUAUAUACAAUGUACUUCUGAUAAUCUCUUCCCAACUCCACAUGCACAGUGACGUCACCUUGGUAGGCGAAAAUCAGCACUGGUGGAACUAGUUACAUCACAGAAAUCGGCAAAUGCUUCAUGUCUGGGGUUGACUUAUUGUUAGUUGUCUAGACCAGAGCUGGCAAUCUUUUCCUAGAAAAUCCAGAAUAGUAAGUAUUUUCAGCUUUGUGGACUGCAUAGUCUGUUGCAACUAGUCAACUCUGCCGUUGCAGCACAAAAGCAGACAGAGGCAGGAGUGUCAGUGGAUGGGCAGGCUGUAUUCCAAUAAAGCUUUAUUUACAAAUUAAGGUUAUAUAGCUUCAUAAAAUGAAUUGAGAGGCAUCUCUCUUUUUCUGUCUUCUGGAGAUCUUGGGCAAGGCAGGUAUUAUCAAUCCCUUGAAAGUUUGGUUAAACUCUUUUGUAGUUAUGUGAGGCUAGGCCUUUUUUGGUGGGAGAGAUGUUGGAUUAGGGUUUCAAUUUUUAAUUGAAUUUUUAAUUUAAUUUUCCUUUUUCUUUGUUUUUUGUUUUACCAAUUUUGGUAU
Molecule: long non-coding RNA, 1782 nt
Organism: Ailuropoda melanoleuca (giant panda)
Lineage: Eukaryota; Metazoa; Chordata; Mammalia; Carnivora; Ursidae
Exons: 4
Source: RefSeq, a predicted model, not a curated record